This 26-nucleotide non-coding RNA is filed under the name Mus musculus (house mouse). The record is from RNAcentral. Lineage: Eukaryota; Metazoa; Chordata; Mammalia; Rodentia; Muridae.
UGGGAGAUUAGAAACGGCUGUUAGCA